ACUAAUUAAAUAUAACUAAUUAAAAGUAAAACCGAGGGGCAUUUCUGCCCAGCCAGGCCCACCUGUCCAUUGAAAGGAUGCCAUCUUUGGAGAGUAGAAAGCAGAAGCAGCAGGUUGAGGAAACUGCUUGGUGCAGGGGUGAGGUGGAGAAAGGUAGAGAUUAGAGAGGGAGAAGCAGGGGGAGACCAGGAGAGCAGCUUGGAAAUGGAGCAGAAAAUUCAGAUGGCAAAAGGAGGCCCCUCACCCAGAGACCCGAGAGCCUAGAAAACAAGCUGUCAGCCUGCAGAGGCCCUGGGCCACUGCUCAGAAGGGUCCUCUGCCUGUGGCCCUCGGGAGCCUGGAGAGCCCCCAUCCACUCACAUGCCCCCCGCCUCGCGCCCAGAGCAAUAGUGGGACAUAUGGGGCCAGACAGGGAGAGGCAAUCAACUAAAAGGACACUCUUGCUACCGACUAAGCUCCAUGAUAUACGGCUGUGGGUUUGCAAAACAGCAGCGGCCACGGCAAGGUGCAGAGGGUCAGGAGCAGCGAGCACCUGCGCGAGGGAAAAUAAAGACGCGCACGUGUUUGUAAAUGCCCGCGGUUUCUGGAACUGCCCGCAGGAAACCGAUAACUUGUUUGCCUCUGGGGAGGGGAACUGACAGGCGGAGGCGGAGGUCCGGUGUGGCGAGGAGGCCACGUGUCUUUCUUUAGACUCUUCAGUACCUUUCGAACAGCAGGCCUGAUCUAUCCGUCACCUAUUCAGUAAGCAUAGAAUUAACAAAUAAAGAGACGCUUCUGGUACGUAUACUCCACAAAAAGUCGAAAACGCACCCCAAACACACCCUUCUGCUUUGAGGCUGCGAUCUCAGCGCAAACGGCACCUGCCAGGUGCGUGGGGUGCAUGCUACCAGCCUCACACCAGCUAUGGCUCCCGGGGGCUGCCAGGGACACUUCUUUCUCCCUGCUGUGGGCAUCGCUUCCCCCGUGGUCCAGGACCUCCAAGGAGGAGCUCCCACGCUCCCAGCCCUCAGCAAACCUGGGCUGUAUUCCAGCCACGGAAAUGACCGGAAAUGAGCUCCCCGGGACUGAGUCCGGGCUUCGGGGUCCCAUGUCCAACCAACGUGGCGCCCACAGCCACUGCCCAGGGAUCCCCUGCCAGCCUCUCAAUCUAGGGAAGAAACCAGAAGCAAGUGCCACGGCUGCAGUCUGAUAAUCACUAUGGACACCAGAAACCAGCCUGUAUCGGGUCUGCGUCCAAUUAGCCACCCCCACAACAAUACCAUAGCAACCAAGGUAAUAUUAUUGUUCGAAAAAGAAGAAAAAGAAGAAGAAGAAAAGAAGAAGAAGAAGAAAGCACACACACACACACA
Long non-coding RNA from Leopardus geoffroyi (Geoffroy's cat), 1349 nucleotides. RefSeq lists it as uncharacterized. The transcript has 2 exons. Lineage: Eukaryota; Metazoa; Chordata; Mammalia; Carnivora; Felidae. The record is from RefSeq and is a predicted model, not a curated record.